This 516-nucleotide long non-coding RNA is filed under the name Macaca mulatta (Rhesus monkey). RNAcentral describes it as "lncRNA (ENSMMUG00000050381.1)". Lineage: Eukaryota; Metazoa; Chordata; Mammalia; Primates; Cercopithecidae. The record is from RNAcentral.
GUAGUAUUGACUUAAGCAUGACUUCAAAGAUGUGUAUCUUUGAGGCCUGAGCAAAUUGACAUAACUGAGAUGUUCAGUUUUUCCAAUUUAAUUUGUGUUGUCAGCUAAAUCUGUUUACAGAAUACAUGGUGGCAUUUAAAAAUCUAAUUCAAUGCUCUACUUGAAAAUCUCUGAUCACGCUUUUGAGCCAGAGCUUUUCUCAAAUAUUACAUCCUUUCUAGGAUUGUAUUUAUUUGCAAAAGCAUUUCCUUAGAAGUUUUAAAACUGUUUAAUAUAUUCAUUCUUUGUUUUUAUAGGCAUACUGAGUAAAACCUAUAUUCAAUUUCAUAUACAUGUCUGCCAGCAAAAAAAAUUGUUUUCAACAUGGGACACAUCUUCUGUAAUGACUCCAUGUCAAAUAGCCUGAACAAUCCAUCAGCAACCCAUGAGCCAGCAGAACAAAAGAUGACAGAACUGGGGCUGGCAGAGCAAGGAAUGAAAAAGAACAGAUCAGUGUUCAGUUUGAAAGAGCCAUAA